UACAGAGGGUGCGAGCGUUGUCCGGAAUCACUGGGCGUAAAGGGCGCGUAGGCGGCCUGAUAAGUAGGGGGUGAAAUCCUGUGGCUUAACUGCAGGGCUGCCUCCUAGACUGUUGGGCUUGAGCACGGUAGAGGAAGAUGGAAUUCCCGGUGUAGCGGUGGAAUGCGCAGAUAUCAGGAAGAACACCCGUGGCGAAGGCGGUUCUCUGGGACGGUACUGACGCUGAGACGCGAAAGCGUGGGGAGCGAACAGG
This 253-nucleotide ribosomal RNA is filed under the name uncultured bacterium. RNAcentral's name for it is "partial 16S ribosomal RNA". It matches the Rfam family "Bacterial small subunit ribosomal RNA", at positions 524 to 776 of the family's 1533-position model. The record is from RNAcentral.